RNAcentral lists this transfer RNA (76 nucleotides) under Parasaccharibacter apium. RNAcentral's name for it is "tRNA-His". It matches the Rfam family "tRNA". From Rfam's summary of the family: Transfer RNA (tRNA) molecules are approximately 80 nucleotides in length. Their secondary structure includes four short double-helical elements and three loops (D, anti-codon, and T loops). RNAcentral also lists the same sequence under 5 other names. The record is from RNAcentral. Lineage: Bacteria; Pseudomonadati; Pseudomonadota; Alphaproteobacteria; Acetobacterales; Acetobacteraceae.
GCGGAUGUAGCUCAGUUGGUAGAGCGCCGGUUUGUGGUACCGGUGGUCGCGGGUUCAAGUCCCGUCAUUCGCCCCA